AAGCGGGAAAAGCUCAAGUUUGAAAUCUGGGGGGGCCUGCUCCCUCAGAGUUGUAAGCUGAAGAGGUUUUGACCGACGCGGCACGGGCUCAAUUUCCUUGGAACAGGAGGUCAUGGAGGGUGAGAACCCCGUCUAUGGCUCGGAUGCCGUCGUCCUUGUGUCGUUUCCUCGAAGAGUCGGGUUGUUUGGGAAUGCAGCUCAAAAUGGGUGGUAAAUUUCAUCUAAGGCUAAAUAUUGGCGAGAGACCGAUAGCAAACAAGUAGAGUGAUCGAAAGAUGAAAAGUACUUUGAAAAGAGAGUGAAACAGUAUGCGAAAUUGUUGAAAGGGAAGCGUUUGGCAUCAGCCCAUGGCCUCUGGCGAUCAUCCAGGCUUCUGCCUGGUGCACUCGUCAGUGGCUGGGCCAGC
RNAcentral lists this ribosomal RNA (406 nucleotides) under uncultured Archaeorhizomycetes. Its description in RNAcentral is "eukaryotic LSU rRNA". It matches the Rfam family "Eukaryotic large subunit ribosomal RNA", at positions 96 to 501 of the family's 3401-position model. The record is from RNAcentral. Lineage: Eukaryota; Fungi; Ascomycota; Archaeorhizomycetes.